RNAcentral lists this long non-coding RNA (1080 nucleotides) under Monodelphis domestica (gray short-tailed opossum). RNAcentral's name for it is "lncRNA (ENSMODG00000047886.1)". Lineage: Eukaryota; Metazoa; Chordata; Mammalia; Didelphimorphia; Didelphidae. The record is from RNAcentral.
AUGGCAAGAGUCCUUGGGCUGGCCGGGGACCAAGAGGCAUCCAGUGGGGCUUCCAGAAAUGCCCACUUCCGGAUCCUGGUGUCGCCCCAUCCUCUGCCUUGGAGACCUUGGAGGAUGGGGAGCUCAGCACCUGGAGGCUCACAAGGUGCUGGGAAGUUUAAACUUCUCAGUUGGCUCCAGCUCCACUUCCCCAGGGUGCAGAGAAAUAAGGCUGAUCCCCUCCUCCACAGGCCAGGGCCUUCCAGGCUGGAGGCUAGCACCAAGGGCAGGUUAGCUGGCAGGUCCCACGGAGAUUUUCUCCACGCUAAGCCUGCUCAGUUCCUAGAGAGAUUCCUCCCCCUCCCCCCCGCCAUGACAGUGGCCGAACGUUGGGCGCCAUCCGAGCUCGAUGCGAAUAGCUUCGAGGGAGGGUCACACAGGCCUAGGACUGGGCCUGGGAGAUGUUUACGACCACAGCAAGCUGGCAUCGCGGCUUCCGAGCUGGAAGGGGCCUUUAAGGCCAUGGAAUCACAGGCCGUGGCUGUAUCAAUGAAGAACCAGGUCCCAGACGAGUGGGCCCGGCCCGGGAGCUGGGGGGAGGGGGACGGGGAGCGCGUAAGUCCGGACCGAACCGUCGGGGCAGGGCCACUGGGGGGUGCUGGGCGAAAGCUUCCGGCCGUGCCCAGGCCGCAGCCCCUUCCCUCUCGGCCCCUCCCCCGCCCGGGGUCGGGGUGGGCCGGGCCGAGCCGGGCUGGGCUGGGCCGGGCUGGCCGAGCGGCGCUGAUCCGAGCUGAUCCGAGUCGAGGCCCGCCCUCUGCGCCCUCCGCGCCCUCCCUGCCCGGGCCGGGCCGGUCCAAUCAGCGGCGCCCCCGCCCCUCGGGCCCGGCCUCGGCGCCCUCCCCUUGGGGUGACAGAAAGUCGGCGGCAGCUCGGAGAGCAGGAGGUGGCUGCGGCGGCGGCGGCGGCGGCGGAGGCGGCGGAGGAGGAGGAGGAGGAGGAGGAGGAGGCGGCGGCCAAGGAGGAGGAAGAAGAGGAGAAGAAGGAGGAAAAGGAGGAGGAAGUGGCAGCCGGGCUGGCCCUGGGACGGACAGACAGACCUAG